RNAcentral lists this long non-coding RNA (698 nucleotides) under Homo sapiens (human). RNAcentral describes it as "HSALNT0028118". Lineage: Eukaryota; Metazoa; Chordata; Mammalia; Primates; Hominidae. The record is from RNAcentral.
AGACCACAGCAACCCUCUCCAUACCAUGUAUAUACCUGGCUCCCCUACCCAUGCAAGCAAAAUCCAAGUGGGUAGUCUGGACUUCCACCCUAGUGAGGCUACAAGGUGGCAUCUCAACACCCUAACUGGGGUAGAGUCAAAGGCUAUGUAGACAAGUAGGGAGCCAUGAUAAUGGUGUCAGCGGAGACCACCUAGAGAGCCUAGAUUUCCACCCAUACAGGAAGUAAUACGGUGUUACUUACUCCUUCUCCUAGUUGGCUAGUAUCAAAGGAGGCCUAGUGGAAAGUCGGGACUUUUCCCAUUGCCCAGAGGUGUGAGUCAUCACGGCUGGCCAAAACUGAGCAACUUUUAAAACAAGGGACACACAGUAUAUAUUCCAUCAGUCACAGCAAUGACAUCUCACAAGCCAUGUAACCUCUGGAAAACUCCACUGUACACUCAUAAGUGAAUGAGAGUGAAAAGGGCAAAUAACAUCUUACUAUUAUCAUUAAAACAGUUUUGGCCUUGUAGAUCCCUUGCAAGAGUCUCAUGGAUUCCUGCACCACAUUUUGCAAAGUGCAGCUACAGGGGGAUACUAAAAGCAAGUCCAUGAUACAGUGUCAUAAAUUAUAAGGCACAGCUAGGAAGCAAUAAAGUUAGAGCAUUAGGGAAGAAACAGACCACAAAAGGACUUGUAGACUCCUCAUAUUUAAAGUGUG